UCAAUGAUUGUUUGUUUGGUUUGGUUUGG
Molecule: non-coding RNA, 29 nt
Filed under: Rattus norvegicus (Norway rat)
Lineage: Eukaryota; Metazoa; Chordata; Mammalia; Rodentia; Muridae
Source: RNAcentral